Molecule: ribosomal RNA, 466 nt
Filed under: Pelobates cultripes (western spadefoot toad)
Lineage: Eukaryota; Metazoa; Chordata; Amphibia; Anura; Pelobatidae
Description: SSU_rRNA_eukarya
Rfam family: Eukaryotic small subunit ribosomal RNA
Source: RNAcentral
AGGUUGAGGUGGCGGUGUAGGUGGAGGAAGACGAUGAGGUAGCCAACACUGUUUAAUAUAUAUAUAUAUAUAUAUAUAUAUAUUUUAUUUUAAUUGGGGUAGCCCCCCAAAUAUUGGGACAUAUAAAAAAAAACAACCACUCUGUUGACAUGCACUUAGUUGACUCUAGAGAACCUCGGGCCAAUCGCACAUCCCUGUGACAGGAACUUUGCAUUUGGAUGUCAUCCAUAUCAACUUUUGAUGCCAGUUUCUGUGCCUAUCAUGGUGACCACGGGUAACGGGGAAUCAGGGUUCCAUUCCAUACAGGAUUGUAAGGAAGGCAGCAGGCGCGCAAAUGACCCACUCCCGACGCCGGGAAGUGACGACAAAUAACAAUACAGGACUCUUUAAAGGCCCUGUAAUUGUAAUGAGUCCACUUGAAAUCCUUUAAAUUGGAGGGAAGUCUGGUGCAGAGCCACUGACCCGU